RNAcentral lists this ribosomal RNA (449 nucleotides) under uncultured bacterium. RNAcentral's name for it is "bacterial SSU rRNA". It matches the Rfam family "Bacterial small subunit ribosomal RNA", at positions 331 to 794 of the family's 1533-position model. The record is from RNAcentral.
CCAGACUCCUACGGGAGGCAGCAGUGGGGAAUAUUGGGCAAUGGGCGCAAGCCUGACCCAGCAACGCCGCGUGAAGGAAGAAGGCCCUCGGGUUGUAAACUUCUUUUAUUUGGGACGAAACAAAUGACGGUACCUGACUAAGAAGCCCCGGCUAAAUACGUGCCAGCAGCCGCGGUAAUACGUAUGGGGCAAGCGUUAUCCGGAUUUACUGGGUGUAAAGGGAGCGCAGGCGGCCUGCCAAGUCUGGUGUGAAAACCCGGGGCCCAACCCCGGGCCUGCAUUGGAAACUGGCGGGCUGGAGUGUCGGAGGGGCAGGCGGAAUUCCUAGUGUAGCGGUGAAAUGCGUAGAUAUUAGGAGGAACACCGGUGGCGAAGGCGGCCUGCUGGACGAUGACUGACGCUGAGGCUCGAAAGCGUGGGGAGCAAACAGGAUUAGAUACCCCCGUACU